RNAcentral lists this transfer RNA (60 nucleotides) under Escarpia spicata. Its description in RNAcentral is "tRNA-Cys". The record is from RNAcentral. Lineage: Eukaryota; Metazoa; Annelida; Polychaeta; Sabellida; Siboglinidae.
CCUUAUAGUUGAAAAACAACAUUAAAUUGCAGCUUUAAAAGUGUAGCCCUACUAAGGUUU